AGGCUUGUAGCUCAGAUUGGUUAGAGCACACCCCUGAUAAGGGUGAGGUCGGUGGUUCAAGUCCACUCAAGCCUA
This is a transfer RNA of 75 nucleotides. It matches the Rfam family "tRNA". Rfam says of the family: Transfer RNA (tRNA) molecules are approximately 80 nucleotides in length. Their secondary structure includes four short double-helical elements and three loops (D, anti-codon, and T loops). The record is from Rfam.